CCCGCGGAACCGACAUAGGCAAGAAGUGUACCUUUGGUUCACAGUUUCACAGUUUUCAUUGAUAACGUGUAACGAAUAGUAAAUCAGUGAUCGAAAAUAUCAAGAUUCAAGGAAUGACACCAACAGGGAAUCGAGGUUACUGUGGAACUGGCUUGGAGCUGCUGGCAAGUGAACUCGGUUGGAGUGCUAAAGUCUUGUUACAGAAGCUCGCGGCCGUAAGUCAGCCCACAAAGUAGCUGCUUGAAGCGGCGCCUUAACGACGCAAGAAAAGGGGUGUGCUAACCGACGCCACGAAAAUUUCGGUGCCCGGCGUCGAAUUUAAUACAUUUCGAAUUUAAUAUUCGCCGGCCGUACCAGAAGAAGGAACCACCAGGACCGGCCAGGCGCGGACAAACGAGCCGAAAUAAAACGGCGGACGUCUCCUUUAGAAAAUUUGCAUGCACUUUGUGCUCCGAAGUGCCGGAAACCCGAAUAAGCCGAGAAAAGGGAGGGAAAAAGAAAGAAAGAGAAAGAGAGAGAAAGAGAGAGAGUGGCCGGGUAUACAUCUGUAUAUACCAACGGUCACACCUGUAAAUCCCUUUCGGGCCCAUUGAAAUCUCGGACGCCCGCGGAGAUGAUUUUUACGGGUCGUGCGCUC
This is a non-coding RNA of Nomia melanderi (Alkali bee), 637 nucleotides long. The record is from RefSeq and is a predicted model, not a curated record. NCBI's taxonomy places the organism in Eukaryota, Metazoa, Arthropoda, Insecta, Hymenoptera, Halictidae.